CUUUUUCUUUUUAAUCCUCACUCCUGUGCUGGAGAACCUGUUGACUGAGCAGGCUUACACAUAUGGCACCUCAACGUCAGAGCUCCAGUAAGCUGGGUACAGAUUGAUAAGGAUGUCCAGACAUACCUCCAGGAGAGACCCUAAAAGAUGGAGUGAAAUUUGUGGAGAAACUGUGGUCAAGGACCACUGUAAUACAAGGAUAUGAGUUUUAAAAGCCAACUUGGGAGUGAAUCCAGUGAAUCUGCUACCUCAGCUGUCUCAGUGGAUACUUCCUGGAUCAGAUGGAAAGAAGCAAUCGCAACAACAGCAACCCAAACUGAUGACUCCGCUGAACCUUUCCAGAACGCAGACCUGCAGAAUUUUAGCAAAAUAAGUGUGUUUCCUGGCUCACCUCCAUUCUGUUGAAACAUCUAAGAUAUAUAGCUUUCCACCAGAAAUUCUGGGGUGUUUGUCUAUAAGCCCUCCAGGUAGUAGCUCUAAGACUUACCCUUGUGUGAGUAUUGCUGUUUCAAAUUGAAAGCCAUGAAUCUGAAGCAAGUCCGACAGAAGUUAUGUGUGGUCACUACAUCUGAGGUGCUUGAGAUGGGGUGGUAGAAGCUGAGAUUCCAUGUCUACAGAUUUGGGACCUUGAAAGGCAGCCUGUUUUCUGGUCGAGCUAAGCUGAAAGCCCAGAGACCCAGUAGAUUAAUCUGCAAGGGACAGAAGGAAGUUUGUCACAUGCUCCCAGACACUAGGCUCCUGACUAGCUCCAUAAUUCUGUGGCCUACAGUCACAUAGGCAGUCCAAACUCCACCCCCACAGUUACCUGGCAACAGGCAGAAUGGCCCAGCCCACUAUAAA
This 840-nucleotide long non-coding RNA is filed under the name Mus pahari (shrew mouse). Its description in RNAcentral is "predicted gene 14505 (MGP_PahariEiJ_G0006475.1)". Lineage: Eukaryota; Metazoa; Chordata; Mammalia; Rodentia; Muridae. The record is from RNAcentral.